This is a long non-coding RNA of Salvelinus fontinalis (brook trout), 520 nucleotides long. RefSeq lists it as uncharacterized. NCBI's taxonomy places the organism in Eukaryota, Metazoa, Chordata, Actinopteri, Salmoniformes, Salmonidae. The record is from RefSeq and is a predicted model, not a curated record. The transcript has 3 exons.
CACCCUGGCACAGAGAGACAGGAAACACAGGGAUAAUACACUGGCACAGAGAGACAGGAAACACAGGGAUAAAUACACUGGGGAAAACAAGCGACACCUGGAGGGGGUGGAGACGAUAACGAGGACAGGUUAAACAGAUCCGGGUGUGACAAGCCUCAGGUGGAUCAGGACAAGAUUCAGCCCCCUGAACAGCUUUCACAAGCGCUGAAGAGGCUGCUGUGCGGGGGAGGCGCUCCCUUCUUUGAAUGUGUGGGGUUACAAGUGCCUUUCCCAGUUGCUCCAGGAAUACCCUCCUCUUGUUCCGCUAAUCAGGCAUCCAGUCCAGGAUGAUGGCUUGCUUCCUGUACUCACGAUCACUGAUCUCAGCCGUUUUGUGCAGUGUGCUCAGGAGGACCACAUUCUUGUUCUUCUUUGGGAGGUAAGAAACUACAGUGGUGGUGUGGGUGAAGGCAAACUUUGAUGAGAAGGUCUCUCUCCCCCUUGUUGCGAGGAGUGCAGGGGGGAGCUCAGGCUUCUUUUU